This 545-nucleotide long non-coding RNA is filed under the name Salmo salar (Atlantic salmon). RNAcentral describes it as "lncRNA (ENSSSAG00000109955.1)". The record is from RNAcentral. Lineage: Eukaryota; Metazoa; Chordata; Actinopteri; Salmoniformes; Salmonidae.
GUGGGAGGGUUGGCGUGUUGGUGGGUUGGGUGGGUGGGAGGGUUGGCUUGUUGGUUGGUUGGUUGGGUUGGCUCCAUUUGGAACACAUUCUGUUCGUCACUUCUUCAGGAAGAGAAAACUGGUUUGGACUCUCAUUAUAUCCAUACUAUGAUAGAAUACUGUCUUAUGGUGACAUGUCAUAGUGAACUCUAUAGAGAGAUGAAGGCUGGAGGAAUGUGGGAUAUAAACAAAUGUACUAAUGUAUUUACCCUUUUUUUUAUAUUGAUGUAGUUCAGUCCUUGAGCUGUUCUUGUCUAUUCAUGUUCUGUAUUAUGUCAUGUUUUGUGUGGACCCCAGGAAGAGUAGCUGCUGCUAUAACAACAGCUAAUGGGGAUCCUAAUAAAAUACCAAAAACAAGUUUGUUGGACUCCCACAUAAUCAUUAUGGUUUCCCUCUUCGUCAUGACAACACUGGAACCAAUCACUACUAAUCUAUGAACCACACCAACUACUGUGUGUCUGACAUAGCACCCUAUUCCCUAUAUGGUGCACUACUUUUGACCAGUG